AUUGAACGCUGGCGGCAGGCCUAACACAUGCAAGUCGAACGAGUGGCGGACGGGUGAGUAAUGUCUGGGAAACUGCCCGAUGGAGGGGGAUAACUACUGGAAACGGUAGCUAAUACCGCAUACCAUCGGAUGUGCCCAGAUGGGAUUAGCUCGUUGGUGGGGUAACGGCUAACCUAGGCGACGAUCCCUAGCUAGUCUGAGAGGAUGACCAGCAAAACUGGAACUGAGAAAGGGUCCAGACUCCUAAGGGAGGCAGCAGUGGGGAAUAUUGCACAAGGGGGGCAAGCCUGAUGCAGCCAGGCCGCGGGUAUGAAGAAGGCCUUCGGGUUGGAAAGUACUUUCAGCGGGGAGGCGUUACUCGCAGAAGAAGCACCGGCUAACUCCGUGCCAGCAGCCGCGGUAAUAC
This 406-nucleotide ribosomal RNA is filed under the name uncultured bacterium. RNAcentral's name for it is "partial 16S ribosomal RNA". It matches the Rfam family "Bacterial small subunit ribosomal RNA", at positions 29 to 526 of the family's 1533-position model. The record is from RNAcentral.